This is a transfer RNA of Candidatus Atelocyanobacterium thalassa isolate ALOHA, 73 nucleotides long. It matches the Rfam family "tRNA". Rfam says of the family: Transfer RNA (tRNA) molecules are approximately 80 nucleotides in length. Lineage: Bacteria; Bacillati; Cyanobacteriota; Cyanophyceae; Chroococcales; Aphanothecaceae. The record is from Rfam.
GCCACGUUAGCUCAGUUGGUAGAGCACAUCACUCGUAAUGAUGGGGCCGUCGGUUCAAAUCCGAUACGUGGCU